Molecule: long non-coding RNA, 923 nt
Filed under: Rattus norvegicus (Norway rat)
Lineage: Eukaryota; Metazoa; Chordata; Mammalia; Rodentia; Muridae
Description: long non-coding RNA NONRATT012889
Source: RNAcentral
UUCACUCCUCUCCUACAUUCUUUUGCAAAACCCCUUUGGGGCUCUUUACUGGAGACACUUGCUUUGAUUUCUAUAUUGCUUUUAGUCUCCUGGCUGUUUUUCUUGCUUAAUAUCUGGCAACUCGAUUUUCCCUUCAAGUAUGCCAACCAAUUCAGUUAGAAAGUCACAUUCAAGAAGAAAGGCCUGACUCGAGGCAGAAGCCUUGCCGGAGUCUGACUCUGAAUGCAGCAAGCCUGGGCCUCAGCUGGCCUGUCUUGUGCCUUGGUACUGUCUUCCCUUGAUUUUCCUUGAUUUUCUUUGUCCCUCCUUCUCAAGCCUUUCUGCCUGCUAAUUAACAGUGUCGAUACUUAAAGCAAUUUGCUGACCUCAACCCUCAUGUGCUGUAUGCCAGGACUGCCAGCAAACUUGGGACUUCAAGGUGAUGAAAGUUGUUACAGCUUUUAUGGCACUAAGGCAAAAGUGUGUUAACCAGGAACAACUUAUUCUGUAUGUAUGUAAGAUCUCGUGGGAAUGUUUAACCCUGUUGAAAUUGUAUUCAGGAAUAAUGUUUUUACAGAUUUCUUCUUACAUUCCUUCAGUGAUAAUCCGGAUAAUUUUAUAAUCCUUUUAUAGCUGCAGCAAAUAUCCAGUUGUGUUUUAUUAUUGUACAGAGUGAAUAUGUUUUAUUAUCUAAGAUAACAGAUUUAUGUUUGUGUGGCUAAUGCACCUUCUGGGGGUUCAGGUUGAAUGUGUGAAGCUAGACUGUACCUUCUACCUGGAACGACCAUAUUGAAACUGUUAAUUCUAUCCAUUGUAAAAUAGCACCAUUCUAUUGCCUCCAGUGAAUGACAAACUUAAUACCUAAAAAGUUGUAUUUACAGAGAAAAUAUAUUUGAAAGUGAAUUCUGAUCUGCAAAAUAAAUUUUAUUUGAAAGAAUUUUUUU